This 89-nucleotide transfer RNA is filed under the name Treponemataceae bacterium. RNAcentral describes it as "tRNA-Ser". It matches the Rfam family "tRNA". From Rfam's summary of the family: Transfer RNA (tRNA) molecules are approximately 80 nucleotides in length. Their secondary structure includes four short double-helical elements and three loops (D, anti-codon, and T loops). Lineage: Bacteria; Pseudomonadati; Spirochaetota; Spirochaetia; Treponematales; Treponemataceae. The record is from RNAcentral.
UGGAGCGGUGGGUGAGUGGCUUAAACCAACGGUUUGCUAAAUCGUCGUAUCCGUAAGGAUACCGGGGGUUCGAAUCCCCCCUGCUCCGU